This 73-nucleotide transfer RNA is filed under the name Perca fluviatilis (European perch). It matches the Rfam family "tRNA". From Rfam's summary of the family: Transfer RNA (tRNA) molecules are approximately 80 nucleotides in length. Their secondary structure includes four short double-helical elements and three loops (D, anti-codon, and T loops). The record is from Rfam by way of RNAcentral. Lineage: Eukaryota; Metazoa; Chordata; Actinopteri; Perciformes; Percidae.
GCCGAAAUAGCUCAGUUGGGAGAGUGUUAGACUGAAGAUCUAAAGGUCCCUGGUUUGAUCCCGGGUUUCGGCA